GAAUUCAACUCCUACGGGAGGCAGCAGUGGGGAAUAUUGCACAAUGGGCGCAAGCCUGAUGCAGCGACGCCGCGUGGGGGAUGACGGCCUUCGGGUUGUAAACUCCUUUCGCUAGGGACGAAGCUUUUUGUGACGGUACCUAGAUAAGAAGCACCGGCUAACUACGUGCCAGCAGCCGCGGUAAUACGUAGGGUGCGAGCGUUGUCCGGAAUUACUGGGCGUAAAGGGCUCGUAGGUGGUUGAUCGCGUCGGAAGUGUAAUCUUGGGGCUUAACCCUGAGCGUGCUUUCGAUACGGGUUGACUUGAGGAAGGUAGGGGAGAAUGGAAUUCCUGGUGGAGCGGUGGAAUGCGCAGAUAUCAGGAGGAACACCAGUGGCGAAGGCGGUUCUCUGGGCCUUUCCUGACGCUGAGGAGCGAAAGCGUGGGGAGCGAACAGGAUUAGAAACCCGUGUAGUCCAGGCGUU
Molecule: ribosomal RNA, 464 nt
Filed under: uncultured bacterium
Lineage: Bacteria
Description: bacterial SSU rRNA
Rfam family: Bacterial small subunit ribosomal RNA
Source: RNAcentral